This 203-nucleotide ribosomal RNA is filed under the name uncultured bacterium. RNAcentral describes it as "partial 16S ribosomal RNA". It matches the Rfam family "Bacterial small subunit ribosomal RNA", at positions 117 to 331 of the family's 1533-position model. The record is from RNAcentral.
GUAAGAACUUACCCCUUGGCGGGGAAUACCCCAUCGAAAGUUGGGCUAAUACCGCAUAAGAUCGUAAGAUGAAAGGACGUAACUGUCCACCGAGGGAGAGGCUUGGGGCCCAUCAGCUUGUUGGUAGGGUAAUGGCCUACCAAGGCAACGACGGGUAGGGGGUGUGAGAGCAUGUCCCCCCAGAAUGGCACUGAGACACGGGC